RNAcentral lists this transfer RNA (66 nucleotides) under Hycleus marcipoli. RNAcentral's name for it is "tRNA-Arg". Lineage: Eukaryota; Metazoa; Arthropoda; Insecta; Coleoptera; Meloidae. The record is from RNAcentral.
AAAUGAGAAGUAAAUAAUUACAUUUAGUUUCGACCUAAAGAUUGGUUAAUCCAUAACCCUCAUUUA